This 482-nucleotide ribosomal RNA is filed under the name uncultured bacterium. RNAcentral describes it as "partial 16S ribosomal RNA". It matches the Rfam family "Bacterial small subunit ribosomal RNA", at positions 30 to 507 of the family's 1533-position model. The record is from RNAcentral.
AUUGAACGCUGGCGGCAUGCCUUACACAUGCAAGUCGAACGGUAACAGGUCUUCGGAUGCUGACGAGUGGCGAACGGGUGAGUAAUACAUCGGAACGUGCCCGAUCGUGGGGGAUAACGGAGCGAAAGCUUUGCUAAUACCGCAUACGAUCUACGGAUGAAAGCAGGGGACCGCAAGGCCUUGCGCGGACGGAGCGGCCGAUGGCAGAUUAGGUAGUUGGUGGGAUAAAAGCUUACCAAGCCGACGAUCUGUAGCUGGUCUGAGAGGACGACCAGCCACACUGGGACUGAGACACGGCCCAGACUCCUACGGGAGGCAGCAGUGGGGAAUUUUGGACAAUGGGCGAAAGCCUGAUCCAGCCAUGCCGCGUGCAGGAUGAAGGCCUUCGGGUUGUAAACUGCUUUUGUACGGAACGAAAAGACUCUUUCUAAUAAAGAGGGUCCAUGACGGUACCGUAAGAAUAAGCACCGGCCAACUACGUG